GACCGCGUAGCUCAGUUGGAAGAGCAUUGGGCUAGUAUCCAAAGGUCGUAGGUUCGAAUCCCGCCGUGGCCG
Paramuricea clavata is the source of this 72-nucleotide non-coding RNA. NCBI's taxonomy places the organism in Eukaryota, Metazoa, Cnidaria, Anthozoa, Malacalcyonacea, Plexauridae. The record is from the annotation of a GenBank genome assembly.